UGACAAUUAAAAUCAGUUAAUUAACUAAAAGAUAGAAAACAAGUAGAAAACCAAAUUGAAAGGAAAUAUGUGUCGGUGUGUCUCCUCCUGUGAUAAAGCUCCAUAUGUACCACUGAAAACAGUUAAAUUAGUUUGAAUCAGAAAUCAGGGCUCAAACUACUUGUUCUGAGACCAUUUCUUCAUUUUUCACACCAAACUGUUUGUAGCUGUCGCAUUGAAAUGUAAUUAUUAUGUGAUUGCAAUGUUCAACAUUUGGUGUUUAAUCUGGAUUCAUGUUGUGUUGUCGCCACCUACUGGUGGGCCUGAGUGUGACGCUUUGUGGUGUGCGUGCUUUGGGGUGAUGCUCAAUUAAGCGCACAUGUCACCAGAGACUGAAGGCUCGAGCCAGAAAGAGAAUGCUAGCCUGUGUAAAGGGUGGAAAUAUAGAAGAUAUGGACUACAAUUGCUCAUGAAUGUUCAGUAGAAAGGCGCACACGUUUUUCACGGUGUUUGCUGGUGAAAAGAAGAUUAAAAUACUGGCUGAACAUCA
Long non-coding RNA from Haplochromis burtoni (Burton's mouthbrooder), 529 nucleotides. RefSeq lists it as uncharacterized. The transcript is spliced from 2 exons. NCBI's taxonomy places the organism in Eukaryota, Metazoa, Chordata, Actinopteri, Cichliformes, Cichlidae. The record is from RefSeq and is a predicted model, not a curated record.